Symphalangus syndactylus (siamang) is the source of this 2849-nucleotide long non-coding RNA. RefSeq lists it as uncharacterized. The record is from RefSeq and is a predicted model, not a curated record. Lineage: Eukaryota; Metazoa; Chordata; Mammalia; Primates; Hylobatidae.
GAAAUAAAACGCUUACUGUCGGCCCCCCUUCUCUGCAGACAUCCAGAUGAGGAGCCUGUAUUCAAGGUGGUGACUGGGCCACGCAGCCACGCCCUUCCCUGGGGGUGAGCCCUUCCCUCAGGGUGCAGCCUUCUCUCUGGGUGCUCCCUUCCCUAGGGGUGCAGACUUCUCUCUGGGUGCUCCCUUCCCUUGGGGUGCAGACUUCUCUCUGGGUGCUCCCUUCCCUCAGGGUGCAGAUUUCUCUCUGGGUGAGCCCUUCCCUCAGGGUGCAGCCUUCUCUCUGGGUGCGCCCUUCCCUCGGGGUGCAGCCUUCUCUCUGGGUGCUCCCUUCCCUCAGGGUGCAGACUUCUCUCUGGGUGCUCCCUUCCCUCAGGGUGCAGACUUCUCUCUGGGUGCGUCCUUCCCUAGGGGUGCAGCCUUCUCUCUGGGUGCGCCCUUCCCUCGGGGUGCAGACUUCUCUCUGGGUGCGCCCUUCCCUCAGGGUGCAGACUUCUCUCUGGGUGCGCCCUUCCCUAGGGGUGCAGACUUCUCUCUGGGUGCUCCCUUCCCUCAGAGUGCAGACUUCUCUCUGGGUGCGCCCUUCCCUAGGGGUGCAGACUUCUCUCUGGGUGCUCCCUUCCCUCAGGGUGCAGACUUCUCUCUGGGUGUGCCCUUCCCUAGGGGUGCAGACUUCUCUCUGGGUGCUCCCUUCCCUCAGGGUGCAGACUUCUCUCUGGGUGCGCCCUUCCCUAGGGGUGCAGACUUCUCUCUGGGUGCUCCCUUCCCUCGGGGUGCAGACUUCUCUCUGGGUGCGCCCUUCCCUAGGGGUGCAGACUUCUCUCUGGGUGCGCCCUUCCCUAGGGGUGCAGACUUCUCUCUGGGUGAGCCCUUCCCUCGGGGUGCAGAAUUCUCUCUGAGUGAGCCCUUCCCUCGGGGUGCGCCCUGGCACGUGUUGCCUCCCCACUCACUGCUCUUUCUUGCUGCCUCCUUCCUGGCGAGUCCCUUCCCGCUGUUGCUCACUGUCUGCUGAUUUCUGAUCACUUGUCUUCCCUCUUGAGCUUGGUGAACAGACCAGCAGGAGGGUACAGGAUGGUCCCCACGAUCCCCCGAACAUUUCUAAGACCAAAACCAAAAAGCCCAAGUGAGAGGAGGGACCCCACUCGGGGCUCGGAAAGCUGACCUGAUGCCUGGCGCCCCGCGGUGGCGUGGGGUGGUCUUGCGUGGCUGUGGACCCCUCAACCAGGCAGGCGAGAGCGGGGAGGGAAGUGGGUACAAGUGAGCAAGUGUGUGAGUGUGUGGGAGUAUUACUGUUAGUGUGUGUGUGUCUGAGUGUAUGUGUGACUGUGUGUGUGUCUGAGAGUGUGUGUGUGAGUGUGUGGGAGUGUGUGUGUCUGAGUAUAAGUAUGUGUGUCUGAGUAUGAGUAUAUGUGACUGUGUAUGUGUGUCUGAGUGUUAGUGUGUGUGUGUCUGUGUGUUAGCGUGUGUCUGAGUGUGAGUAUGUGUGACUGUGUAUGUGUGUCUGAGAGUCAGUGUGUGUGUGUGUGUCUGCAUUUAGUGUGUGAGUGUGUGUCUGAGGGUUAGUGUGUGUGUCUCAGUGUUAGUGAGUGGGAGUGUGUGUGAGUGUGAGUGGGCGUCUGAGUGUUAGUGUGGGAGUGUGUCUGAGUGUGUGUAUCUGUUAGUGUAUGAGUGUGAGUGUGUGCAUGCUGGGAAGAGGCAUGGGCUAAGAAUAAAAUACUUUCCCAAAGUGUAGCAAAUAAUAGCAAAGUUCACCCAUCAGUUCUCCUGCCUUAAGCAACUAUGGGCUUUCACUCUCCAACUUUCUUCUCUCUCUCUCACACACACACACACACACCAUGAGACAUCUGAGCUCUCCUGGCAAGGUUGGGCUCCCUGCUGCCCCCGCAUCCCCUCACUUACACCAAAUUCUGUCCCCCUGACUGGAAUGUUUGGGGUGAGAGCCCCUCCUUCGUCCUGUCUGCACCAGUGUCAGCUGAACAUGUUAGGACGUGUGGCCACCGCCUCUCGUGGACCCUGGAACAACCUCCCGUUCGCACAGGGGUCCACUCCUAAUCUUCUGGAGGUGCCAUCAUGGGAGAUGACCAAACUCUCCUGAAAAGUCUUGCGCAGUACCGUGAUCAAUAAAACUAGGAGAGUAAACAGAAUGCUCUGAAUUUGGAGCCAGAAAACCUUGAUUCAAGUCCUUCAUGUGGCCUUGGGCAAAUCACUUAACCUUUCUGAGCCUGUGCCCUCAACGAUAUCUUCCUGUUUCUUAAGGUCAAUGUGAUGUUUAAUGAUAAAUAACUCUUAAAAGGGCUUUGCAUCAUGCUUGGGCAUUUUGGCUAUUCAAGAACCUCACACUGCAUGAAGAAAGAUGCAUUCUGUGUGGCUCUGGAGGCUUUUCAAGCAGAGAGAAACAGCAGGUUCACAGCCCUCAGCGUGUUCCUCCUCCUGCUCACACUUCACCCUUCACCCUGGCUGACCUGCGUGUGCAAAACACGGUCUUGAGCUCCCACAGACCGAGGAGAGGGGGCCCAUUCCGCUGCAUCUCCCCAGGGCACCGGCAAGAGCAGGCAAAGCCUCGUUGACUGAAUUCACGGAGAGCAGAGACUGUGCCCAGGCCUCCACCCCAGGACUUCUGUGUUGUGUGAGACAUGCUAGUGAUGCUGCUUUAAGCUCUGCUUUAAAAAUGGUCCUUUGACAGAUUCUGAAUGCAAACGGUCUCCUUACCAGAUCCCGUGGAAUAAGGAGGACAACUUAUCACAACUUCCUCAUUGUAAAAUCCCGUUCAGAUUGCAGUUGAAGAUCACAAAUUGUCUGUGUUUCACUUUGUGAUGUUUGUGGUGUCUAAUACAGCAACACAAGCCUGGGUU